ACGAACGCUGGCGGCGUGCUUAACACAUGCAAGUCGAGCGGUAAGGCCCUUUCGGGGGUACACGAGCGGCGAACGGGUGAGUAACACGUGGGUGACCUGCCCUCAGCUCUGGGAUAAGCCUGGGAAACCGGGUCUAGUACUGGAUAUGACUCCAUGACGCAUGUUGUGGGGUGGAAAGCCUUGUGCGGCUGAGGAUGGGCCCGCGGCCUAUCAGCUUGUUGGUGGGGUGAGGCCUACCAAGGCGACGACGGGUAGCCGGCCUGAGAGGGCGACCGGCCACACUGGGACUGAGACACGGCCCAGACUCCUACGGGAGGCAGCAGUGGGGAAUCUUGCGCAAUGGGCGAAAGCCUGACGCAGCGACGCCGCGUGAGGGAUGACGGCCUGG
This 388-nucleotide ribosomal RNA is filed under the name uncultured bacterium. RNAcentral describes it as "bacterial SSU rRNA". It matches the Rfam family "Bacterial small subunit ribosomal RNA", at positions 29 to 419 of the family's 1533-position model. The record is from RNAcentral.